GACUGCUGGAUCUGUUUUAACACCUCAGAUUAUACCACUUCGAAUUUCAAGUAGCAGAGCAAAACAUGAAAUAGAUACAAAUACUCUUGUUGAAAUGAAAUCAGAUACACGUGAUGUGACCAUAUAUUUUACUAUUGAUGGAAGUAAACCGCAAUAUUUUAAGAGGUUUGAUUAUAGACAUCAUAAUACUUUUAAGUAUAAGAAACCAAUUACAUUACCACAUGGGAAAAUAACCAUCAAGGCAUUGGCAGUCACAAAAGAUUACAGAGAAAGUGCCAUUGUAACAAAAGUAUUUAUAGUAGAACAUGCAACGUCAAACCCUCAUGACCUUGAUAAAGAUGAGAAUUUCCUGAAUUGUCUCACU
Molecule: long non-coding RNA, 364 nt
Organism: Protobothrops mucrosquamatus (brown spotted pit viper)
Lineage: Eukaryota; Metazoa; Chordata; Lepidosauria; Squamata; Viperidae
Exons: 3
Source: RefSeq, a predicted model, not a curated record